RNAcentral lists this ribosomal RNA (445 nucleotides) under uncultured bacterium. RNAcentral's name for it is "partial 16S ribosomal RNA". It matches the Rfam family "Bacterial small subunit ribosomal RNA", at positions 354 to 796 of the family's 1533-position model. The record is from RNAcentral.
GUAGGGAAUAUUGGGCAAUGGAUGAAAGUCUGACCCAGCCAUGCCGCGUGCCGGAUGAAGGCGCUCAGCGUUGUAAACGGCUUUUAUUCGGGAAGAAGAGCAGGGAUGCGUCCCUGUGUGACGGUACCGAAUGAAUAAGCACCGGCUAACUCCGUGCCAGCAGCCGCGGUAAUACGGAGGGUGCGAGCGUUGUCCGGAUUUAUUGGGUUUAAAGGGUGCGUAGGUGGCCAAAUAAGUCAGUGGUGAAAUACGGUUGCUCAACAAUCGAGGUGCCAUUGAUACUGCUUGGCUUGAAAUAAUUGGAGGCUGCCGGAAUGGAUGGUGUAGCGGUGAAAUGCAUAGAUAUCAUCCAGAACACCGAUUGCGAAGGCAGGUGGCUACGAUUUAUUUGACACUGAGGCACGAAAGCAUGGGGAGCAAACAGGAUUAGAAACCCUUGUAGUCC